AUAAUAAGACAUACUUAAAGAUGUUUAGAUAAUAGAAGCUUUUGGAUACCACUUGUUCAAUAUCAACAUUUAAGAGAGCAUAGAAGAGGAAAGAAAAUAUGAAGAAAUCAAAAUUCAAAUGCCUACAAAUGACUACAUUUAACCCAUGUUCAAUAGCCAGUUAUUGAACACUACAGUUAACUACAAAUGACUACAUUUAAAAUACACAUUGCCUUGAUGUACAGACUUAUAACUAGAUUACAUAUAACUAGAUUUGGUUAUAAGUAAAUUGAAAUACACAGACUUGAACUAUAUAUAGUGUUAGUUACAAAUAACACUGAGCCAGCUAAGUCAUAUGUAGUUCAAGUCUGUAUAUUAAUACAGUGAGCCAGCUACAAAAUACAAAUAACAGCUACAAAACUACAAAUAACAGCUACAAAAUANN
Molecule: long non-coding RNA, 424 nt
Filed under: Nicotiana benthamiana
Lineage: Eukaryota; Viridiplantae; Streptophyta; Magnoliopsida; Solanales; Solanaceae
Description: long non-coding RNA (NBEN_LNC003233)
Source: RNAcentral